This is a non-coding RNA of Suillus subalutaceus, 79 nucleotides long. The record is from the annotation of a RefSeq genome assembly. NCBI's taxonomy places the organism in Eukaryota, Fungi, Basidiomycota, Agaricomycetes, Boletales, Suillaceae.
GUCUUAGCCAAGCGGUUACUGCACCAGAGUCAAAAUCUGUAUCUCUUGGAUUGUGCAGGUUCGAAACCUGCCGAAGAUA